RNAcentral lists this long non-coding RNA (1106 nucleotides) under Pan troglodytes (chimpanzee). Its description in RNAcentral is "long non-coding RNA NONPTRT010059". Lineage: Eukaryota; Metazoa; Chordata; Mammalia; Primates; Hominidae. The record is from RNAcentral.
GAGAGAGAAUGCUAAUGAGCUGUGAAAUGACCAAAGAUCUGGCAGCAGAAGGGAAAAGAAAAAAUAAUGGGAACAAGAGGAUUUAUCUGACUCAACUGGAGAUGGCUCCCUUCCCUAAUUUAUUGUUGCAUCCUGAAGCUUCCCCCAUGCUGGGCUCAGUGUGAACAAACAGCGCGGGAGAAUGCAACCACUGCAGAGGUACAAGUUCACAGAGGCAGAGCCGCCCCUCGACUGGGCCAGAGGCAAAGACAAACCCCAACCUCUUUCUUGUCAUUCAUUGAAUUUUGCUGAACCUGGAAAGGAAAUAAAUUCCAAAGGCAGGAAGUGACCCAGAGACCAUAACAAUAUGUGAAAAGCUUAGCCGGUGUUUCCGCCCCUUUGUUUCAAACUAUUCUAAUCUGUGUCCCAGGAAGCCUAGCCCAUGGCCAGAUGGAGAUCUGUUUUCAGAUGCCUCCUGGCAUCUGCCACUCCCGGCUGGUGACAUUUGCACAUUUCAGAAGGCAAACCUGUCCCAACAUCUUCAAACUUCCAGAGAGGUGUAGCACCAGGAAAGUCCUUGGGUCUCCGGCUGACAGCACCAACCAGCUGAUUUGCUUCAUCUGCAGCUGAACUGCUGCUGGACUCCAGCCUAGAACACUAGUGCACACCGGGUUUGUUCUUGAAGAUUUGCAGAUUCUGAAAUCAAAAUGCCCUGUGUUGCCAGAAAAGGCUGGCUCCCUUGCCUGCUUCAUAAUCCCUUCUCACCAGGCUUUCCUAAAGAAACUCAAUGAGUCAGGAAGGAAGAAAACAUGUCUGAGGGAGAUCUGGAGAUAAAGAAUGAAAAGAGAAUAUACAACCUUGUGAUUGCUAGCAGUGAAAGCUCAGAGUUAUGACAUAACAGAAUUAAAUUGAGUUCAAGCAGCUUGGAACAGCUUGAUGGCUUCUUUCUGCCACAGAAGGUGCCAGGUGUCCUGCAUCUAGACUCUGACAGCCUAUUGAUUGGUUGGAAAGAACCCAAGGGGACAUGGGCACAGCAUCCCUUCCUGGGCCUCUUCCUCAGGUGGUGCGGGUGGGAAAUCAGGAAGCUCCCAGACAUGGAGCAACUCAGGUGAUCAUGGAACAGAGAG